UACGAAGGGUGCGAGCGUUAUUCGGAAUCACUGGGCGUAAAGGGUGUGUAGACGGUAUAUUAAGUUCGUCGUUAAAGGCUCCGGCCUAACCGGAGUAUUGCGAUGAAAACUGGUAAGCUAGAGGGUGAGAGAGAGAAGUGGAAUUCCCGGAGUAGCGGUAAAAUGCGUGGAUCUCGGGAGGAACACCAAUGGCGAAGGCAGCUUCUUGGCUCAUUCCUGACGUUGAGGCACGAAAGCGUGGGGAGCAAACAGG
Molecule: ribosomal RNA, 253 nt
Filed under: uncultured bacterium
Lineage: Bacteria
Description: partial 16S ribosomal RNA
Rfam family: Bacterial small subunit ribosomal RNA
Source: RNAcentral